CCCUUAGAUGUUCUGGGCCGCACGCGCGCCACACUGACGAUGGCAACGAGUUUUUCCUUCGCCGAAAGGUGUGGGUAAUCUUUUGAAACAUCGUCGUGCUGGGGAUAGAUCAUUGCAAUUUUUGAUCUUGAACGAGGAAUUCCUAGUAAGCGCGAGUCAUCAGCUCGCGUUGAUUACGUCCCUGCCCUUUGUACACACCGCCCGUCGCUACUACCGAUUGAAUGGUUUAGCGAGGACUCCUGAUUGGCGCCGCCGCCCCGGCAACGGAGCAGCGGACUGCCGAAAAGUUGUUCAAACUUGAUCAUUUAGAGGAAGUAAAAGUCGUAACA
This 329-nucleotide ribosomal RNA is filed under the name uncultured eukaryote. RNAcentral describes it as "partial 18S ribosomal RNA". It matches the Rfam family "Eukaryotic small subunit ribosomal RNA", at positions 1470 to 1796 of the family's 1831-position model. The record is from RNAcentral.